AGCCUGAACGCUGGCGGCGUGGCUAAGACAUGCAAGUCGUACGGUGUAGCAAUACACAGUGGCGAACGGGCGAGUAAUGAAUCGCUAAUGUACCCCGGACUCUGGGAUAGCUGACCGAAAGGGCAGGUAAUACCAGAUGACAUAACCCUUCCGCAUGGUUGGGUUCUCAAAGGUCCGCCGGUCUGGGAGCAGGCGAUUUUGUAUCAGCUAGUUGGUGAGGUAACGGCUCACCAAGGCGACGACGCAUAGCCGGACUGAGAGGUUGGCCGGCCACAUUGGGACUGAGACACUGCCCAGACUCCUACGGGGGGCUGCAGUAACGAAUCUUCCGCAAUGCACGAAAGUGUGACGGAGCGACGCCGCGUGUGGGACGAAGUUCUUCGGAAUGUAAACCACUGUCAGGGGUAAGAAAGUUCUGAUCUACCCCAGAGGAAGGCACGGCUAACUCUGUGCCAGCAGCCGCGGUAA
This 468-nucleotide ribosomal RNA is filed under the name uncultured bacterium. Its description in RNAcentral is "SSU rRNA". It matches the Rfam family "Bacterial small subunit ribosomal RNA", at positions 26 to 523 of the family's 1533-position model. The record is from RNAcentral.